UGAGGAUAAAAAUAACUGUGUGUGCUGCUCUGAGCUCCUUGGAGGAAAAGCGGGAUAUAAAUGUUUUGGUGUUGUUUUUUUAAAGUGGGUAGUUUAUUUAUUUGUUAAAACUUUUAUACCCUGCCUUUCUAACUAGCUAUUAAAGGCAGCUAACAAUACCAAAAUUGUACAAAUAUGGAGUAACUAAAAAUGUGAGGAGUAACCAGAAAUACUCAUGAAGAGAUGCACUCUAAGGGCAAAAAACAACCUUCAUUUAACCUGCUAUCCGUUUUAAAUGGGAGAAGUGAGGGAGAAGCAGUGGCAGCUUGGGGUGUUUGUGCGUGAAAUGGGUUUGAAAAGGCACGAAACCGGCCGGAGGAAAAGAUUCAGGGUAGUAGAGCUCCGGCCCCUCUCUGUUCAGAAGGGCUUACUUCCGAGGAAGCCUGCCUUAGCCGGCCGCUCCCCCAAGCAAGGCUCUUGGCACCAGAGAACUGUCAGGCCCAGAGCGGUUCCCUCAGGCUUCAAAAUCACCUCAGAGCCGGGCUGCUGCCCACCCCCAUGGCCAGAAGGAACGCUGACAGGAAAACGGCCCUUCUGUGAGGAGUUCAAGUUCAAGUUCUUUAAUGUUACAGCCACAAGCCAAAACAGAAGAGAAAGAUUACAGUUAUAUAAUUGAAUGUAUGCAAUUAAAACAGGCUGAAAUUAGAAUUAGUUAAAAAAAAUUGACCAAAUUUAAAACAUAAUGAUGAUAAAAAUUUAAAACAGUAAAAUAUCCUUAUUAACCAUCCGGUGACGUAUAUUUAUGGUAGCAGCACAGAAUUUAGCCACAUUAGAUGUAAUUAAACACACUGAGUCCGAAAGCAACAAGGAACAAUAAAAUUGCUCCUGUCGACCGGGAAAUUUACAAAGCAAAGGAGUAAUGAAAGAUUCACGGAUAUCCUUGUAAAACAGGCAGAAUAAUAGAACGUGUUCAGUAGUUUCCACCUGAUCCAACCCACAAGGGCAGAGUCUGUCAGCAAAUGGAACCCCUCUAUAGCGCCCUUCUAGAACUGCCGAGGGUAAACAAGGGCAACGAGCCAAGGUAAAAGCUUUCCUAUACCUCGGAAAUUCCAACCAGGUAAAAUAAUUCAUUGCAGAGACUAGAUAUCUUCUUUCCUCUAAGAUGUAAAAUUUGGAGACUUUCCCGAGGUCAUUUUGCCGUUCGGAGUCAAACACUCAUUGUUUAACCAGCAACCUUGCCUGGCUUCAAAAUCACCUCAGAGCCGGGCUGCUGCCCACCCCCACGGCCAGAAGGAACGCUGACAGGAAAACGGCCCUUCUGUGAGGAGAAGGUGCCCUUGGGACGACAACUGAGGCAAUAAUCUCAGUGAAAUUCAGCCUGUUUACUGCCUGUUCUGUUUACAAAAACCCUCUUCAGGCAUUCCCAACUCUCUGUAACGUCUCUCUCCUAACUCCAGCACCAGGGCAUGGGAACAGGGAGUUUUUACGAAACGAACAAACAAAAAAACACCCCACAACCUGUAUUAUUUAUUUAUUAUGUAUUUAUUCAUUCGAUUUCUAUACCGCCCUUCCAAAAAUGGCUCAGGGCGGUUUACACAGAGAAAUAACAAACAAAUAAGAUGGCUCCCUGUCCCCAAAGGGCUCACAAUCGAAAAAGAAAUAAUCUAAUAUGUUUUAUUACACCAGCAACUGUCGCUGGAGGGAUGCUGUGCUGGGGGUGGAUGUGUUGUCAGAACCUAAGGGGUAUACUCGUGGGUCAAAUGGGCUGUAACCCAAAAUUUGGCUUAAAAUAAGCCAAAUAGGGCCAGUUACUCUCCCCCUGCUAAAUAAAGAGAAUCGCCAUGUUAAAAGGUGCCUCUUUGCCCAGUUAGCAGGGUUUUUAAAAGUUCUAAAAAAACACCAAAACUACUACAGAAUGUUAUCCUCAGAGGGUUUUUGUAAAUAUAUAAUAGGUAAGGCCGAUCACUAACUGGUCAAAGUCAUUUUGUGUAGAUGUCACUGACAAGAGCAUUCGAGAAAAGAUAUGUCACAGAAUUUUGUUUUUUAACGUGCUUGCACACGGGAAGCGAAAAGAACAGUUUGGAAUUGUGGGAUUUUGACUCUAAGCAUGUGUUAAAUUCGAAUCCCAGUAAAUCUGAAACUGAGAAAGCUCUUCUGCUUUCCUUGAGCGUGUGGUCAUUUUGGAAUUAUCAAUCUGAUUGUUAAUAUCUGUUGAGCACAACAGUUAAAAUCCACUGGUUAUAUUCAGAGUUUCUUUGGUGGCGGGAUGUUUAAACUAUUCCUUGAGCAGAUUCUGGUGUAAGAAGUAGGGCAUGCUAAUUUCAGAGGGAGGAUUGUUCAUGCAGAGGUUGGCAAGAAUAAAAGGACAUAAGAAGCCAUUUUAUUGCUGAAAACCGGUCCUGACACAUUUGGAGGACACACCUCUGGGGACUACAAAAUACAGAUAUACAGGAAUUAGAAUAUUUAAAAAUAUGCAUGGAGUUUUUUAAAAAAACCUAGUAAAAAUACCUGAGAAGCCACCUAAUGGCAUAGUGCGGAAAUGCUUGACUAACAAGCAGAAAGUUGCCGGUUCGAAUCCCUGCUGGUACACCUAUAUCGGGCAGCAGCAAUAUAGGAAGAUACUGAAAGGCAUCACCUCAUACUGCGCGGAAGGCAGCAAUGGUAAAUCUCUCCUGUAUUCUACCAAGGAAAACCACAGGGCUCUGUGAGCGCCAGGAGUCGAAAUCAACUUGAUGGCACACUUUACCUUUAAAAAAUAUCUGAACCUGAUGGACUAAAUAAAAACUUGAUAAGAACUAAUCAUCAGCACAAAACCAGAGGAACAUAAACCUAAUAAUGAGACCAAAAAAAGCAAUAUGAUCAAUUAUGCAUAAAGGGUGAAGAAAAGCACUAUUGUAAAUAUCUAAUAUUCAAAGUAAUAAAGGAAGUCAAAAUAUCUAUGGAGACCACUAGGAGAAAGGGAAUGUAGUCUCAAGACUCCUUUGGCAGAAGGAUCCUAUCUGGGCUGGAAGGCAUAUAAAGCCCCCAAAUUAAAACCUGACGUAGUAUGUUGGUGUUGCAGCCAACAUUUAACUGGAGGGGCUUUAGAGAAUUUACAUUUGACGUUAUGCAAUUGUUCACCAGCUCUCUCUUUUUAAAUUUUUGAGCUUUUCCCUUCAUAAGACAAAGGACAGGGAUACUUGAUAACAUAAAUUACAGAUUCAGAAUUGCAUGUGGUGGGAAGGAAAAAAGUAUAUGCCUUCUGAUGGGGUUGGUAAAUUUCUUUAGUUUGGAGGCAGUUCCCAAAAGGAAUGUGUCCCUGGGUAGAACCAAAAAUGGAAAUGAACUGGUGUUUCAACAGAAGAGAGGUUUAUUUAUUUAUUUAUUACAUGUAUAUCCUUCUCUUCCUCCAAGGAGCUCAGAGUACAUGCUUAUUUUUAUCUUCACACCAACCCUGUGAGAUAGGUUAGGCUGAGAGAUACAUGACUGGCCCAGAGUCAUCCAGUGAGUUUCACGGUUGAAUGGGGAUUCAAACGUGGGUCUUCCUGGUCCUAGUCCAACGCUCUAACCACUACGCUCUGCUGGCUCUGGUUUUACAAGCCAGUUGGACAUACAGUGGUCCCUCGACUUACAAACUACUCGACAUAAGUAUUUUUCGAGUUACAAACGGCAGUUUUAGAUCCGGUUUUAGAUGCGGUUUUUUCGACUUACAAAUUUUUAGAUGGGGUUUCCUCGACUUACAAAUUUUUAGAUGGGGUUUCCUCGACUUAUGAAUUUUACAUGCGGUUUCCUUGACUUGCCUGCCUGUUUACUGCCUGUUUAUUCUUGAAAAGAAAUGUUCCUGUGCAGUUUGCAAGCCUUACUGGGGGUCUGGGUCUUUUUUCUAGGCUCCGGAACGCAUUAAUCCGUUCCCAAUGCAUUCCUAUGGGAAACCGCUUUUCGACUUACGAAUUUUUCGACUUACAAAUGUGCAUUCGGAACGGAUUAAUUUCAUAAGUAGAGGGACCACUGUAUUUCUAGUGUGCCUGAAGGCAAUCAUAGGCUUGGACUGGCACCCAGGGAGGUCUUGAAGCAGUACUUAAAACCAGUACUUUAAAAUGGCCUUUAUAAACUUUGUGGUGAUAUCAUUGAAUGGAAGGCUACAUACUACUCUAACAGAAGCAAACAGUAGUGCAUGCAGCUGUGGGUGCAAGUUGUAAGCGAGCACAAUCGGUGGUAUUGCAACCUGAUCACGUGGCAUGCCUGUCAAUCAGGUCCCAAUUUCCUGGCUUUGUGGAGCUUGAGCCAAAGUGCCCGUCCUCUGGGGAACACAGGUCCUUCCCCGUGCCCUUGAAAGCACUUCGGGGCGGGGGGGGGGGGUUAUGGGAAGGAAUGAGCCUGGCUCUCUGGCUGGAUGUAUGCCAGGGACACUGAGGGCUCUUCUUCCCCGGGUCAAAGUAUCUACGGCUUGCUAGUCCCGGGCAGCCGCAAGCUGUGUAUUCAGCUCUGAAAUUCCGGGACUUACAUUUGUCCAAAGGGGUCAUGUAAACCUCCCUAAGAUGUGAAUUUUGUAAGCAUGUACAGGUGUAAAAUAAAUAAAAAUAACAUGGCCUUUUUUUUCUUUUCAGGAGCAGAAGAAGAGAGAUCUGGCGGAAGGAAGGCCAUCACCUCCAGCAGCCACACGGUGGUCCAGAAGCUGCUGCUGCCUCCCCUGGUUCCUGGGGCCAGUACCAGCCAGGUCUCCCAGGAAACCACCCUUUCCCUUGAUGGCCCAGCCCUGUGGCUAGACCAUCAGCAGAAAGGGUGAGGCCUGUCAAAAGGUCAAAGAAGCUGACCCCGGUAGUAACCAGCACCUUUGGGGAAGCCACCUCGGAAGGGCAGCCCACCAGCCCUCCCAGGGAAGAUCAGGGCUGCUCGAUGUGUGGCCCAAGCACCAAGUGGGAGUGUGCCUUCUGGGAGAAAACCCUUCCCCACCUGGGGGAAAGGAGACUGCCCAGAAGGAGGCUGGAGGCUGCCAUGGAGCGGGCAAAAUUACUCCAGCCCAUCCCCAGGAGGAACCUGGACCUUGGGGAGCCUGGGAAGGAUUUCUUCCCACUGGGACAGGACCGUCCUCCUCGCCUGUCCAGGGAGACGGUUCCUCCCCAGACUUCUUUAACUCACCACCCCCUGGAAGAAGGCCCUGACCCAGAUGGCCCAACCUCUGCUGAAGCCAAUUCCAUCUUCCUUGCAACCACCUUCUGCUCGGCAGAGGAUUCCCCAAGUCAAAGCCAGACCCUUCUUCCUUGGAUAAUCCACCACUCCCCUCUGGCUUUGUGCCCCCCACCAUCACCCUUGGGGAUAGACUCCUCCUGCUCCUUCCUGCUCUAUGGCUCGACCUGUUGCCAGCGCUAACUAUCCAAGCGCUGAGGCUCCCCAAGGCAGAGCCAGCCCCUUCCUCCUGGGGGAGUCUGCCGCUCCCCUCCGGUUCUGUGGUCCAUCCAUCGCCACCACGCCCCCGCCCAAAGGCAUGCCCUGGGGGGGAGAGACUACCACCUGCUCCUCCCCUGGGGUCGUGUCUUGUGGUGCGAGGCCUCCGCCCACGGCCUGAUCCUCCGGUGCCGGGCAGCAGCGGUGGAAGGGUCCCACCAAAUACACCCUUCGCGCUGCUGGAGGGGGCCUUCCACUAGGUCUCUCCGACUCUCCCUGCCAUGAUGAAGGCGCCUGGCCCAAGAAUGAAGCCUCAUCGGCUGAUGGUUGAAGGUAAGCCCUUGAAAAAAAUGGUUUCCUUUGCAGUACUAUGGUCUCCUAUCCUUCUUUUGCUAUCAUGCAACACAAACAAAGACUAUUUGGACUUCUCUCCUCUCCUCUCUGUCCUGCAGGUUAAUCAUACUUUUCUCUUUUCCGGCUUCUUUCUUCUGCUCUGUGGCCUGACCACCGCCACCACGCUUCCACCGGAAGCCACACCCUUGGGGUGAGAGACCACCACCUGCUGCUCCUCAAGGACUAUGUCUCCUGGUGCGAGGCCUAUGCAGACUGGCCGAUCUUCUGGUGGCAACCCCUUGGGGGCAAGAUGGAAGCAGUGAGCGGGCACCACCAAACGCACCAUCUGGGCUGCUGGAGCCCUUUCUGGUACAUCUCGCCUCCUCUCCUCUGCCACCAUGAGACAGGCUGGCCAAAAUAUGAAGCCCACCCACUGCUACAAAAAGGACUUCGCCAACACCAUCCCAGGACACGGUGCCAAUACCUGAUGGCUACCUUUGUCAACAUGUACAUUGAGCUUCAGCAGGGGUGACCUACCUAGCUUACCAGAGGCCACAUCUUAAAGUCAGAAGUAUUAUUCCCUCAUCAGCAUGUCCUGUGUCAAUCGGAACUUGUGAGCCCCUCGAUGCCUGUGGUCCUAGACUCUGUACUGCUGAGAACUCUUCUCCCCCUCCCCCAUUGGUCAUUCUUCUUCAGAUUAGGUGUAUUUGUAGUAUAAAUGUAUUUUUCCCUAUUUAUUUAUUGUAAUGUUGACUAUUAAAUAAACUGUAUCUGAAUUA
Long non-coding RNA from Hemicordylus capensis (graceful crag lizard), 6455 nucleotides. RefSeq lists it as uncharacterized. The transcript is spliced from 3 exons. NCBI's taxonomy places the organism in Eukaryota, Metazoa, Chordata, Lepidosauria, Squamata, Cordylidae. The record is from RefSeq and is a predicted model, not a curated record.